UCUCCUGUACACAGGGGGGAAAAGAUCCAACCUCACUGCUCAAUUAUCGUCACUGUGAUUCAGCAGCUGCUGUCUCCUGGGCAGGUCUGACUGCUGAUUGGGCACGGAACUUCUCAAGGUGUGUCUUUUGUCAAGAAGCUCUUGCAUUUUAAGAGCACACAGUAGACCGUGAUAGCCUCCUGCUAUGGUGUUCAGAUAUUGCUG
RNAcentral lists this long non-coding RNA (204 nucleotides) under Parus major (Great Tit). Its description in RNAcentral is "lncRNA (ENSPMJG00000019379.1)". Lineage: Eukaryota; Metazoa; Chordata; Aves; Passeriformes; Paridae. The record is from RNAcentral.